ACGGGAGACACACGGCGGGUGCUAACGUCCGUCGUGAAGAGGGAAACAACCCAGACCGCCAGCUAAGGUCCCAAAGUCAUGGUUAAGUGGGAAACGAUGUGGGAAGGCCCAGACAGCCAGGAUGUUGGCUUAGAAGCAGCCAUCAUUUAAAGAAAGCGUAAUAGCUCACUGGUCGAGUCGGCCUGCGCGGAAGAUGUAACGGGGCUAAACCAUGCACCGAAGCUGCGGCAGCGACGCUUAUGCGUUGUUGGGUAGGGGAGCGUUCUGUAAGCCUGUGAAGGUGUACUGUGAGGUAUGCUGGAGGUAUCAGAAGUGCGAAUGCUGACAUAAGUAACGAUAAAGCGGGUGAAAAGCCCGCUCGCCGGAAGACCAAGGGUUCCUGUCCAACGUUAAUCGGGGCAGGGUGAGUCGACCCCUAAGGCGAGGCCGAAAGGCGUAGUCGAUGGGAAACAGGUUAAUAUUCCUGUACUUGGUGUUACUGCGAAGGGGGGACGGAGAAGGCUAUGUUGGCCGGGCGACGGUUGUCCCGGUUUAAGCGUGUAGGCUGGUUUUCCAGGCAAAUCCGGAAAAUCAAGGCUGAGGCGUGAUGACGAGGCACUACGGUGCUGAAGCAACAAAUGCCCUGCUUCCAGGAAAAGCCUCUAAGCAUCAGGUAACAUCAAAUCGUACCCCAAACCGACACAGGUGGUCAGGUAGAGAAUACCAAGGCGCUUGAGAGAACUCGGGUGAAGGAACUAGGCAAAAUGGUGCCGUAACUUCGGGAGAAGGCACGCUGAUAUGUAGGUGAAGCGACUUGCUCGUGGAGCUGAAAUCAGUCGAAGAUACCAGCUGGCUGCAACUGUUUAUUAAAAACACAGCACUGUGCAAACACGAAAGUGGACGUAUACGGUGUGACGCCUGCCCGGUGCCGGAAGGUUAAUUGAUGGGGUUAGCGGUAACGCGAAGCUCUUGAUCGAAGCCCCGGUAAACGGCGGCCGUAACUAUAACGGUCCUAAGGUAGCGAAAUUCCUUGUCGGGUAAGUUCCGACCUGCACGAAUGGCGUAAUGAUGGCCAGGCUGUCUCCACCCGAGACUCAGUGAAAUUGAACUCGCUGUGAAGAUGCAGUGUACCCGCGGCAAGACGGAAAGACCCCGUGAACCUUUACUAUAGCUUGACACUGAACAUUGAGCCUUGAUGUGUAGGAUAGGUGGGAGGCUUUGAAGUGUGG
This 1208-nucleotide ribosomal RNA is filed under the name Escherichia coli. RNAcentral describes it as "bacterial LSU rRNA". It matches the Rfam family "Bacterial large subunit ribosomal RNA", at positions 977 to 2167 of the family's 2925-position model. The record is from RNAcentral. Lineage: Bacteria; Pseudomonadati; Pseudomonadota; Gammaproteobacteria; Enterobacterales; Enterobacteriaceae.